Long non-coding RNA from Quercus robur (English oak), 406 nucleotides. RefSeq lists it as uncharacterized. The transcript is spliced from 2 exons. NCBI's taxonomy places the organism in Eukaryota, Viridiplantae, Streptophyta, Magnoliopsida, Fagales, Fagaceae. The record is from RefSeq and is a predicted model, not a curated record.
GCUGUCAAUUUAGGGAUUUGAGAUACAGAGAUAGAGAUCGGCGCAACUCUGUGGCCAACAUAAUCGGAACUAAACACAGACUGACGAAAGUGGGUAUUCUUUGCUUAGUGAUCCCCAGUACAACAAAGGACUUACCAAUGCUUUGGUCAUUCAGUUGACUCCUUACUGCCAGUCUGUACUUGCUGUCAUGCUAGCAAAAACAGGGGUUUCAGCCAGUUUUAACUAUUAUUGGAUUUGAACCAAUGACUUACCGCUUACUAUUCAAGGGGAGGUGGAGCGCUAACAAAGGGAAAGCAUUAUCACUAUUUGAAACUGUUUUCCAUCCUACUUGAUCUGCUGUUUUUGAAGAGUGAUUGAAAUUGUAAAACUUUGAAAUCUGAAAGUGUAAUGUAUUUUGUUGUUGUAA